CGGAGGGUGCAAGCGUUAUCCGGAUUUACUGGGUUUAAAGGGUGCGCAGGCGGAUAUGUAAGUCAGUGGUGAAAUCUCCGGGGCUUAACCCGGAAACUGCCGUUGAUACUAUAUAUCUUGAAUGCUGUGGAGGUAAGUAGAAUAUGUCAUGUAGCGGUGAAAUGCUUAGAGAUGACAUAGAAUACCUAUUGCGAAGGCAGCUUACUACGCAGAUAUUGACGCUCAUGCACGAAAGCGUGGGGAUCAAACAGGAUUAGAUACCCUGGUAGUCCACGCCCUAAACGAUGAUUACUCGACAUACGCGAUAUACAGUGUGUGUCUGAGCGAAAGCAUUAAGUAAUCCACCUGGGAAGUACGAUCGCAAGAUUG
This 369-nucleotide ribosomal RNA is filed under the name uncultured organism. RNAcentral describes it as "bacterial SSU rRNA". It matches the Rfam family "Bacterial small subunit ribosomal RNA", at positions 526 to 896 of the family's 1533-position model. The record is from RNAcentral.